UACUUCAACAGUAUUUCUCAGUGCUGAUUGCUUAAAGUAGAAAAGCUUAAAUCAGUUGAACUGUAGAUCCUGCUGUGUUGAGCCCUACUCAUACAAUCUUUCCCCUGGAGUAUGUCUGCAGGUACAACUUACCUGCUCCUGAAAAUGGAAACAAAAUGUUGCUAAAAUUAUAGCUUUGUGUUUGGGCUCAAGUUAGCUUUAUAUCCUUAUCUGUAUGUUAAUAUCAUUGCAGGCAGGGAGAGUGAAAUUGUGUCCUAGGCUGUGUGAAGAGGUUUAAGUAACAGAAGCCUAUGGCAUGGAUGGUAGACAGCCUUUCUCCUUGCAAGCAGAGGAAAAUACAGAAAUUGGAGCAGCAGAAUAUAACAUGAAAAGCUGUAGCAGUAGAAAAAGGCCAGCUGGUUCAACAUGCCAGUCCUUUUA
Cygnus olor (mute swan) is the source of this 420-nucleotide long non-coding RNA. RefSeq lists it as uncharacterized. The record is from RefSeq and is a predicted model, not a curated record. Lineage: Eukaryota; Metazoa; Chordata; Aves; Anseriformes; Anatidae. The transcript is spliced from 3 exons.